CUUAUUUGCUAUGUUGUCAUCAGGAAGAGUGAUGCCCAUAGCAGGAUGCAGCUGAGUGUUAUCACAGUCCCUAGGCUUACAGACUGUGUGCAGACAGUGGCAUACUUGUGUCCCUCCAACCUUCAAACAUCAGUGAGGCCAGAGAGAGGCAACCUAAGUCUGACUGAAAUCUUGUGUCGCUGCGCAGGAGUUGGUCAUGCUGCUUGUAUGACUCAGCCUGUACAUUCACACUUGCUUGUGGAUGUACAUUUCAUUUUACUGUUCAAAAGGUGAAGGUACUUAAAACUACAUACUACAAGUCUGAUGAAUGCAGAGAUGUUUGAUCCUCUUUUCUGUGGAAAGCUCUUUUUGCUCCAAAGCAAGCAGUGUGGUUAAAUGUCAAGUAUGUGACCAAAGCUUGGUGACAAAGUAGUCCUGCUGCUCUGCAUUAGUGCAGGGUGUUCAGUAUGGCCAAAAUCCUCCCACACGUACAAUUUCAUAUGCAACAAAUAGGUGACUUUGUAUCAUGUUUCAUUGAAACUUAGUUUAUUUAGAACACGCUUUAUUUGUAAGUGGUUUGAGUCACGUUUUAGUUCCUACUUCCAUUAAGAAAGCUUCAGCUAUAUAAGGCAAAGUGAUCUGUCCAUUCAGAAUGCAUCACUUCCUUUCAAGAGAUGACAUGUUUAACCAUCUUCCCAUCUCUUGGACAUGUUACCUAUGACUUUAUAUCUUAACAUAUUUCUUUUGUGAAAGAAAGUUUUGAAGAUAAACAAAGAUCUGAGUUCUUACUAUUCGUGGUUGAAAGGUUUCUGGGUUUGAUCUCUUCUCUUUGGCUAGUGCUCAUCCCUGAGCAGUUUCUGAAUGCUUAUUUCCUAUUCUUUCCACUGCCUGCCACAUAACUAGAGUCAAAGUAUCUCUC
Molecule: long non-coding RNA, 898 nt
Filed under: Phasianus colchicus (ring-necked pheasant)
Lineage: Eukaryota; Metazoa; Chordata; Aves; Galliformes; Phasianidae
Description: lncRNA (ENSPCLG00000010993.1)
Source: RNAcentral